This is a long non-coding RNA of Gavialis gangeticus (Gharial), 1674 nucleotides long. RefSeq lists it as uncharacterized. The transcript is spliced from 2 exons. Lineage: Eukaryota; Metazoa; Chordata; Crocodylia; Gavialidae. The record is from RefSeq and is a predicted model, not a curated record.
GCUGAUCUAUAAAGAAAAGGAAAGAGGAUGGUAAAAGAAUUGCAGCUCUGAUGAUUUAGUUUGUGAGCAUUGCAGGAUAUGGGCAUAGAAUUACAAGUUCCUGCCUGCGUUGGAUGCGACUGACCUGUGAGAUGGUACCUAGUUUGUAUUACGCAGUUGGAACAUCUGGAAGGUAUACAAGAUAGAUGUGUAAUCCUUUAUUAUUAGAAACUGGGAGGAUCUGGAGUCACUUACUUAAGAGAAGUGUAGUUUGCAUCUGAAAUGUAGUUCCACACCACCACAGAAUCACUGCGCUUGCCUCAUACUAAACAACAGCAUAAUUUGCGCUGAUGCAACAUGCACAUUCAUUUAAAAUAAAUACAAAUUAUUCUGGCUUCUGAGUUUUAGCAGAGUUUUUGAAGUUUCCUUAAAGUUAUUAUGAUCAGAUGAAGCUAAUUACAGAGUACUUUACAUAUACUCAUCUGGUAAAUGUCAUACAACAGACGGAGUCAAAGGGAAGGUAUGUGGGAUUUUUGGUCUUUUCUUUUUCAUUCUCAUUAAUGUUCCUGCUCAACUCAAAGCAUGCCCUUCUGACAUAGUUUCUUUUCUUAGGAAACCAUCUCCCAUUCUAAAGCCAGUUUCUCCAGUUCAUAAUUAUCUGGAGAACUUCUCAAAAGUGGGUUGAAUAUCAUAUUUUUAUCACUGUGUAUGUGGUCCAAGAAAGCUGUCUGGCACUGUAAAAGCACCAUGUUUAGAACACAAGUAUCAAAGCCUGCACAUCUCUACUUGUUAAAAAAAUUGUAGCUCUCUUUUGCCACUCUUAAUUCCAGAGGAAGGGGGAAGGGUCUGGGGUCUUGAGUCAGGAAGUCACUAAGCUACUGCACCCAUUCUCCAGCUAAUGCUCUCAAACAAACUUAUAUCUCACCUGUACUCUUUGUCCCUUAAGGAAACCCUGUGAACUGAUUAGAGACUACAAGUGGAGGAGAAGUGUCUGUUGCAUGUUGCCUUUGCUCUAUGUUACUUUAAGGGAGUCUGUUCGCCUCCUUUUUUAUAUACCAUUUUACCUUCUGUCUUAAGUCUUUUAACUUUAUCACUGGCUCUGUAAAUUUGAUUUUAGAGCUAAUCAGCAUUUACUGUUUAACCAGAGGUUUUUAGUUUUAGGAAAUGCAGUUUUAUUGCGUGUUUUGCUAUUUCAGAUGGGCAAAGAAAUGGUCUUUUCAAACGGUUUACUCAGAACUGUGCUAGCGUGAUUUCCAGUUGUAUUGUAUACAUUAGCAGUGAUAAGGGCAUAGACUAAUCUAUGGGGUCAUCUCUUCCUACUGUAGUAAAAUAGUUUUAGCAUGUGUAAAGUAGCUUUUGUUGUUUCAUACAAAAAAGUCAGACAGUCAUAUAGGUGUGCAUAUAUAUAUAAAGACAUAUACAGUUAAGCUUCUUGGAAAAUCAUAUGUCUAUUGAAUAUGAGCUUAUUAAAAAAACUCUGAGUUUAUAAUUCUGUCUCAAGUUUUGUACCACAAGAUAUGAACACAGUUUUUUACUUUGCAUAGAUGAGAUAAAUUUUCAUAUCAGCUUAUUUGAAACAAAAAAAUUGACACUGUCCUGUGCAAGGUACACAUUCUCCUGCCUUAUGUUGAGUAGCUUCAGAACAUGGCCAGUUGUUCAGGAAAAACAGUACCCAAGAAGGCAAACUUAAAAAAA